AUAUCCCACUGUCUUCGUUGUUACCAUCUCCAUCGAUGAUAUAGAACAUCGGAAAAUAAGUAUAAAUGUCAAGGCAUUUCACCCCAACAACUUCAGCAGGUUCCCAGUGAUGCUGAGAAACAGCGUGGGCGCACAGAGCCAGGGCUUUGCUACACUCCUGAUGAUCACUUUUAAAGUCUGCACUCUUACUGACCUACACCGAGAGGCAGAAUCCAGGGGCACACAUAGAAAACUAUUUUGAUGGGGGAAAAAAGCUGUUCCAAUCAAGCCUGGAAGCUCUCACCGGAGCCAGACCAGAGACUGACAACAGGAAGGGCAUCUACAGGACCUGGUCCAUGACCCAGCAGGGGGCACCUGAACUUGGGAGCAAGGAGCAUCUGCAAGGAGGCAGCGGGGUAGGAAGGAUGCAGAAAAUGAAUAGUGACCACUCAGGAGUCGAGUCGAGGGGCCCGAUUCUGAUGCUACAG
Tupaia belangeri chinensis (Chinese tree shrew) is the source of this 467-nucleotide long non-coding RNA. RefSeq lists it as uncharacterized. The record is from RefSeq and is a predicted model, not a curated record. Lineage: Eukaryota; Metazoa; Chordata; Mammalia; Scandentia; Tupaiidae. The transcript has 3 exons.